Long non-coding RNA from Tripterygium wilfordii, 413 nucleotides. RefSeq lists it as uncharacterized. NCBI's taxonomy places the organism in Eukaryota, Viridiplantae, Streptophyta, Magnoliopsida, Celastrales, Celastraceae. The record is from RefSeq and is a predicted model, not a curated record. The transcript has 3 exons.
UUUUCCUGAAUGAUUUUCGAACAAAUUCCAGGCACAUGACUCUGAGCCUUCAAGUGAUGAUUUGAGAUUUUUGGUUGGAUUUUGCUGCGGGUUACAAGGUUGGAUUCACUGUAGGUGUUAGGCGGGGUUCAUAGGUUGAGUGCGAUCGGGAUGCUUAAAUGAUCUCCUUGGUCCUGUGAAUGUGCAUAUGGGAAACAAAGUGAUGGCAGCUUAAUAGCAAAAAGACUUCAAUUUCAAGCAAAUUGGAAGGCAGGACCACCAACAUCCUGAACAAAGAUUGCCAACUCAUGGAUCUCACACUCUCACUGAGAUCCUCGCCAACAAUCGAACAGCUAACAUUAACACUGUUUGGCGGUUAUACGCAUGAUUAUUCUUUGUUUCACAAGAACUCAGAUUGUUUAAUCAAUUGCUGU